AUUGAACGCUGGCGGCAUGCUUUACACAUGCAAGUCGAACGGUAACAGGCCGCAAGGUUCUGACGAGUGGCGAACGGGUGAGUAAUGCAUCGGAACGUGCCCAGGCGUGGUGGAUAACUACUCGAAAGAGUAGCUAAUACCCCAUACGAUCUAUGGAUGAAAGCGGGGGAACGUAAGGCCUCGCGCGAUUGGAGCGGCCGAUGUCAGAUUAGGUAGGUGGUGGGGUAAAGGCUCACCAAGCCAACGAUCUGUAGCUGGUCUGAGAGGACGACCAGCCACACUGGAACUGAGACACGGCCCAGACUCCUACGGGAGGCAGCAGUGGGGAAUUUUGGACAAUGGGCGCAAGCCUGAUCCAGCAAUGCCGCGUGCAGGAAGAAGGCCUUCGGGUUGUAAACUGCUUUUGUACGGAACGAAACGGCUCUGGUUAAUACCCGGGGCUAAUGACGGUACCGUAAGAAUAAGCACCGGCUAACUACGUG
RNAcentral lists this ribosomal RNA (482 nucleotides) under uncultured bacterium. RNAcentral's name for it is "partial 16S ribosomal RNA". It matches the Rfam family "Bacterial small subunit ribosomal RNA", at positions 30 to 507 of the family's 1533-position model. The record is from RNAcentral.